GGCUAACGCUGGCGGCGUGUCUUAGCCAUGCAAGUCGAGCGGACUUAUGGGGUAACUUAUAAGUCAGCGGCGGACGGCGGAGUAACACGUAGCUAACCUACCCUCUGGACGGGGAUAACCUACCGAAAGGUGGGCUAAUACCCGAUGUAGUCAUCCUGUAAUAGGGGUGAUGAAAGGUGGGCUUCUGUUUACAAGCUCAUGCUGGAGGAGGGGGCUGCGGCCUAUCAGGUAGUUGGUAGGGUAAUAGCCUACCAAGCCGAUGACGGGUAGCCGGCCUGAGAGGGUGACCGGCCCGAGGGGCACUGAGAUACGGGUCCCACUCCUACGGGAGGCAGCAGGCUAGAAAUUUGGGCAAUGGGGGAAACCCUGACCCAGUGACGCCGCGUGCAGGAAGGAGCCCUUCGGGGUGUAAACUGCUGUCGUGUAGGGAGAAGGGUACUAAGGUGAACAAUCUUAGUACUUGACGGUACUACAGGAGGAAGCCCAGGCUAACCUCGUGCCAGCAGCCGCGGUAAAAUAGCGUACUCUAAGA
This 532-nucleotide ribosomal RNA is filed under the name uncultured bacterium. Its description in RNAcentral is "bacterial SSU rRNA". It matches the Rfam family "Bacterial small subunit ribosomal RNA", at positions 37 to 537 of the family's 1533-position model. The record is from RNAcentral.